GGUUUUAUUUUGUAAUUCCUUAAUGACUAAAGACAUUGAAUAUCUUUUCAUGUGAUUAUUAGCCAUUUAUGUAUCUCCUUUGUGACAUGUAGAUUAUGCACGUCUACUCAAAUCUUUUAUCUAAAAGAGUUGUCAUCUUAUUAUGGAGUUCUAGGGGUAAUUUAUAUAUUUUGAAUACAAGUUCCUAAUUAAUGUCUUUAACUUUGCCUGGAACUCUAAAAUUAAAUGAUCUUUCAUUUGUGAGCUAGAACAAGGGUUCUCAAAUUGUGGCCCAGGGUCUCAGGGACUGUUAUGGGGGUUCAAGAAGUCAAAAGUAUUUUCAUAAUUAUACUUAGACAUUAAUUGCCCUUUUCAUUCUCAUGCUUUUAUGAGUAUACAAUAGAGUUUUCUAGUGGCUACAAGAAGUGUUCACAAUUAUCUGAAAAGGCUCUUAAAAUACUCCUCUCUUUUGCAGCUACAUGUCUGUGUGAGGCCAAUUUUCUUCAUAUACUUCAAAACAACAGAAGAAUCCAGAUGUCUUCUAUUAACCAGAUGUUGGAAAGACUCAACCAACAUUUCUGAAGGCUUUGAGGCCCUUGCCAUCACAUGCUAAGAGGAGUAAAAUGAAGAAGCUAGCAACUGAAACAUGUACCAAGAAUAUCUGGGGUGUCAGCUUGCUCAUCUAUCUCCUGGGACAUUUUUGUCAGAAUACAGUGGCUGAAGCGUUUAAAAGGAAAGCUACAUCCAGAAAAAACUCCUGGAGUUGGGAUUUCAAAAUCUUAUUUCCAUUUUAUUCAAGUUAUUUCCUCUUUCUGCUGCAGCAAGGCAAAACUGAUGAACAAAGAGCAGCUUAUUAUUAGGAAGUAAGCAUUAAGGAAUUAUAACUUCAGCGAGGAUGCCAUGUAAGAACUGGAACUUUAAAUCUUCCCUGGACAAACUAGAAGACAUGAAAAUACUGCAGAUGAACCAUUUAUUAUUCCUCUCUUUCUCCUGUAGGCCUCCUGGCUUAACUAGAAUGCAGUCUCUCUGACUCUCAACCCUAGCUUACUCAAGAAGCUAGAGAAUCCUGUUACCAAAUCUGUAUGGUUCUGGCUGGACUAUAGGAAACAUAUUGAGGUUUGGGAAUUUGACGGCGCUUUCUGCUGAAUGACAGGUGAAAGAGUGGUUUAUAAAAUUGUAUGAGUUUUUAGAAAAGUUUAUCUACCUCCUACCUAUCAGAAAAUAUGAGUUAAUGUUUGCUAAUAUAAUUCAUUAUGAAACAACAUAAAAUCAUGCCUCAAAAGACACAUAUAAAAACAUAAAUUCCCUCAUCUUUAGAACUUUGUUUUCAAGUUUAUACAUAACAAUGUUAUGAAUUCUGUAGGAGUUUAAUUUUUUCUUUCCUGAAACUGACACAAAUAUUCAUUUAGAAAAUAUUUAUUCCCAUCAUCUCCUAAUGAAUUACAGAUAAUUUAUGGAUAUUAAAAUUUGAAUAAUUUUGAAAUAAUUAGAGCUUUUUUGAAAAGAAAAAUCUCAAUAUCUCUUCUGUACUAGUAAUGGAGUUACUAAGUUGCAGAAAAAUGUCACUAUAAAAACACAAGAAAAACAUUUUUUAUUAACAAAAACCACAUUCCUAAGGAAAUGAAAUCAAGGCAAGGUACUUAACAGCAGAUUCAUCUUGGAGAUUAUAAUCCUAAUGUUUUCACACUCUUACUCAAACAUCUGGCACUCGACUGUAUCACUCACUGGGUCAUUUUUCCUCUUUCAACAAGGACUUACUCAUAAAUGUCCUAUCUUUACACAGAAGUUUACUUAACUAAGAGUAGACAUUUUCAGAUAUCUGUAAUGCAUAAUAUAUUAAUAACAUUUAAAUAAAAUAUAAGCCUUUAUGCUUUCCUAAGAUAUGUGUAAUCAGAAAAUAAUAACACAGUACAAUUUCCUUAAGGCACCUAUCACAAAAAAAGUUGCUGAAAGCUUUGUACACAUGAAUGUUAACACCUCAAAAUUUCAGUAAGAUCUUAAUCAAAACCAGACAUUAUGCUCCACUCUGGGCCUUUUGUUUAACUGAGGUAAAAUGUAUCGUACAAUAUAGUAAGUCUGGAUAAAUGUUUCCCUGAGCCAAGAAAGCUACCCUGUGCUC
Homo sapiens (human) is the source of this 2098-nucleotide long non-coding RNA. RefSeq lists it as uncharacterized. NCBI's taxonomy places the organism in Eukaryota, Metazoa, Chordata, Mammalia, Primates, Hominidae. The transcript has 4 exons. The record is from RefSeq and is a predicted model, not a curated record.